CGACAGCAAUAUGAAGGUCAGGCUGAAGACUUACCCGAUUAGCUGAGAGGUGGUGCAUGGCCGUCGUCAGUUCGUACUGUGAAGCAUCCUGUUAAGUCAGGCAACGAGCGAGACCCACGUCCACAGUUGCCAGCAUACCCUCCGGGGUGAUGGGUACACUGUGGAGACCGCCGCUGCUAAAGCGGAGGAAGGAGUGGGCAACGGUAGGUCAGUAUGCCCCGAAUCUCCCGGGCUACACGCGGGCUACAAUGGUUGGUACAAUGGGCAUCUACCCCGAAAGGGGAAGGAAAUCUCUUAAAGCCAAUCGUAGUUCGGAUUGAGGGCUGCAACUCGCCCUCAUGAAGCUGGAAUCCGUAGUAAUCGCGUUUCAACAGAACGCGGUGAAUACGUCCCUGCUCCUU
This 401-nucleotide ribosomal RNA is filed under the name uncultured Methanosaeta sp. RNAcentral's name for it is "bacterial SSU rRNA". It matches the Rfam family "Archaeal small subunit ribosomal RNA", at positions 937 to 1338 of the family's 1478-position model. The record is from RNAcentral. Lineage: Archaea; Methanobacteriati; Methanobacteriota; Methanomicrobia; Methanotrichales; Methanotrichaceae.